This 1511-nucleotide ribosomal RNA is filed under the name Myroides odoratimimus. RNAcentral's name for it is "partial 23S ribosomal RNA". It matches the Rfam family "Bacterial large subunit ribosomal RNA", at positions 381 to 1894 of the family's 2925-position model. Lineage: Bacteria; Pseudomonadati; Bacteroidota; Flavobacteriia; Flavobacteriales; Flavobacteriaceae. The record is from RNAcentral.
GUAAGAGAAGAUAAGAAUAGUGGUAUCCUGAGUAGGUCGGGGCACGUGAAACCUUGAUUGAAACUGGCGGGACCAUCCGCUAAGGCUAAAUACUCCUGAGAGACCGAUAGUGAACCAGUACCGUGAGGGAAAGGUGAAAAGAACCGUGAAUAACGGAGUGAAACAGAUCCUGAAACCAUACGCCUACAAGCGGUCGGAGCCCUUUUGUGGGGUGACGGCGUGCCUUUUGCAUAAUGAGCCUACGAGUUACCGUUGCUGGCAAGGAUAAGUGAUUAAGUCAUGGAUCCGUAGCGAAAGCGAGUCUUAAUAGGGCGCUUAAGUCAGUAGUGGUAGACGCGAAACCGUGUGAUCUACCCAUGGGCAGGUUGAAGUUUAGGUAACACUAAAUGGAGGACCGAACCGUUUAACGCUGAAAAGUUUUCGGAUGACCUGUGGGUAGGGGUGAAAGGCCAAUCAAACUCGGAAAUAGCUCGUACUCCCCGAAAUGCAUUUAGGUGCAGCGAUGAUCGAUAGUUACUUAGAGGUAGAGCUACUGAUUGGAUGCGGGGGCUUCACCGCCUACCAAUUCCUGACAAACUCCGAAUGCUAAGUAAUGAUAGUCAUCAGUGAGGGCAUGGGUGCUAAGGUCCAUGUCCGAGAGGGAAAGAACCCAGACCAUCAGCUAAGGUCCCCAAAUGUAUGCUAAGUUGAAAAAACGCGGUUUGAUUGCCCAGACAGCUAGGAUGUUGGCUUGGAAGCAGCCAUUCAUUUAAAGAGUGCGUAACAGCUCACUAGUCGAGCGAUCGAGCAUGGAUAAUAAUCGGGCAUAAGUAUACUACCGAAGCUAUGGAUUUGCGCAUUUAGUUGCGUGAGUGGUAGGGGAGCAUUCUAACGGCGCAGAAGGUGAUUUGUGAGAAUUGCUGGAGCUUUUAGAAAAGAAAAUGUAGGCAUAAGUAACGAUAAGGGGUGCGAGAAACACCCCCGCCGUAAGACUAAGGUUUCCUCAGCUAUGCUAAUCAGCUGAGGGUUAGUCGGGACCUAAGGCACACCCGAAGGGGGACGUCGAUGGCCAACGGGUUAAUAUUCCCGUACUACUAAUAAUUGUGAUGGAGUGACACAGUGAUGAAAGCACCGCGAACUGACGGAAUAGUUCGUUGAAGCACGUACCUAUAGGUUUGAUAGUAAAAUGCGUCAGACUUGGAGAAAUGCGAUAGUACUUUGAGUCUUCGGACAACGAGAUAGUGUGCCUAAGGGCUGUCAAGAAAAGCUUCUAAACUUAGAUUAUUAGUACCCGUACCGUAAACCGACACAGGUAGUCGAGGAGAGUAUCCUAAGGCGCUCGAGAGAUUCAUGGCUAAGGAACUAGGCAAAAUAGACCUGUAACUUCGGGAGAAAGGUCGCCAGCGCAAGCUGGCCGCAGUGAAAAGGUCCAGGCGACUGUUUAUCAAAAACACAGGGCUCUGCAAAAUCGUAAGAUGACGUAUAGGGCCUGACACCUGCCCGGUGCUGGAAGGUUAAGAGGAGAUGUUAUC